GCUAGAGUCGCUCAAAGGACUGGACAAGAUGUUUUUAAGCAGUGCAGGCAGCGGGCACGGAGAAACCAAGGCUUCAGAGAAGGAUGCCAAGCAUCGGAAGUAACUGUCACUUGUGCCCUAGCUAAGCGACUCCCAGUGCCUGAGACAGGGCCUUGACUCCUGGGGGUGACCCUGAAAGGACUAAAAUGUGGGAUUCUAUUCAGGCCAGAGAGAAAGAACCUUUUUUCAGAAGCCCAGAGUGGGACCUGGUUGGGUAAAAGAAGAAAACGGUUCUGUGGUUUCUGGUAAGGACUCACACGAGAACCGGCAUGGAAAAGUCUGGCUCAUGGGACAGAGACCUUCCCACUGAGAUGCCUGGGCAGAUACGGGUGCCCUGAGGCUGAGAACAAAUCAGAGGUGCUACUGAAGAGUUAGUGACCUUCACUUCGGUUUCCUAGCCUCAGAACCCAGGCGGUUCCAGUGAGCAGUUUGGAUCCUUCAGGCUUUCAGAGACGAGAGGCUGGCGAGGCCCCUGAAGAACAAGAUGGUACAGCACAGACCACAGAACUUGAACCCAGGCUGCACACCAUGGUCCGAUUGCUGCCUGUCCUAUUUAUUUAUGUACAAUUUAAUUAAAUUUGAAAAUUAAAAAAGUCCAGAA
Molecule: long non-coding RNA, 640 nt
Filed under: Rattus norvegicus (Norway rat)
Lineage: Eukaryota; Metazoa; Chordata; Mammalia; Rodentia; Muridae
Description: long non-coding RNA NONRATT023612
Source: RNAcentral